AUUCUUACCUGGCAGGGGAGACACCUUGAUCAUGAAGGAGGUUUUCCCAGGGUGAGGCUCAUCCAUUGCACAAUACAGAUGUACUAAGUAUUCUUCACCCACAGAGAUCUAAAUUUCUGAUGUGGCUGAGGUGUGUUUGGCAUAAAACCACAUUGGAUGAGUGACCUUAUGC
Molecule: small nuclear RNA, 172 nt
Filed under: Sphenodon punctatus (tuatara)
Lineage: Eukaryota; Metazoa; Chordata; Lepidosauria; Sphenodontia; Sphenodontidae
Description: U1 spliceosomal RNA (ENSSPUG00000015574.1)
Rfam family: U1 spliceosomal RNA
About the family: U1 is a small nuclear RNA (snRNA) component of the spliceosome (involved in pre-mRNA splicing). Its 5' end forms complementary base pairs with the 5' splice junction, thus defining the 5' donor site of an intron.
Source: RNAcentral